Spinacia oleracea (spinach) is the source of this 2465-nucleotide RNA transcript. It is a transcript of the gene named YTH domain-containing protein ECT2-like, with no coding region annotated. NCBI's taxonomy places the organism in Eukaryota, Viridiplantae, Streptophyta, Magnoliopsida, Caryophyllales, Amaranthaceae. The record is from RefSeq and is a predicted model, not a curated record. The transcript has 2 exons.
AAUCUCUAUUAAAGUAAACUAAAUCUCAAUUAAAGUAAACUAAAUCAUUCUGAUACAUAACUAAAUCUCACUUAAAGUAAACUAAAUCUCACUUAAAGUAAACUAAUCGUUCUAUUUCACAUUGUCUCAUAAUGAUAUUCGUUCUUGAAGUAGAUCAAGGAGGAUCAGAAGUAAAUCAAUUAGGUCAAGAAGUAAAUUAGUUGUUGCGUUAGGUCGUCUUUGAUGUAGAUUCCUUGAUAGGCUUGCUGACUGCUAUUGUGGAGAUUUUGGCUAGAUUAAGUUGCUGCUUAAUGAGCAGGAAAUUCAUGAUUUACUGAUCUAACCUGCAACAAUAUGUUCAAGUCAGAAUGUUGGCCCUACUUUAACAACCUGCAACCUACAACAUAUUUAUUUAUUCAUUUAUUUCUCCUUAAACCAAAUCUUGUAGAGUAGUUUCAACAUUUUGAUAAUUUCUUUUGAUCAUUGCAUUGUUUUCUAACUAAUAAUUAUUAUUUUUGAUCAUUCAUUGAUUCUUUUCUAUCGUUAUUUGUUAUCAUGGGGAUACAUUGCCAUUGACUUUAGUAUCUUGAAUCGGAUAUUUAGGCUGCAUUGCCAAAUUGGCAAAUCAAAUUACUGGGUUAUUUAGAGAUAAAACAAGUGGGUUUGUUUUUCGAGUUUUGAGGUUGUUGAUUGAGUUGUUCUGUUGUUGUUUGAAGAAGGAAAUUGACAAAGCUGAUAAAAUUAGAGGGUUAAAGUUGGUGUGUUAAUGCCAAGACAUGACAAAAAGGUGGUGUGCGCGUAGAACAUUGGUAUAGAAGGUGUUUGUAGAUUGUGAUAAUGGGGUGUAUUUGUUAAAAGGAAUCAUCUGGUAAUAAUGAUGAAAGAGGAGGGGUGAAUAAGUCCCAAGUAAUUUCAUGACUAUUAAUUCUAGAUGGAAAUAGUAGUUUUCAGCGAAAUAAUCAAGAACUGUCAAGUAAUUUCGCAAACAGAAAAUGAGACGUGUCCAGCACUCAGAAGUCAGAAACUAAGAGGUAGAUUUGGUCAUAAGAAGAGCACUUCUUAAGAAAAAAAAAACUAAGAACAAUCAACAUAUCUAUAGACAGCAGGAGUUUGUACCGAGAUGCUCAUGAAGGAAAUGCAAUUUCCCAUGAUGCAUGUGCUUGCGGUUGGCUGUUAACUUUUGAAUUAGUUCCAUCUACUUUUUUAGUUAUUUAUCUACUUUUGAAAAUGUGAUGCAACUUGAGAUUUUUUGUUUAUGUGAAUUACUUUAAAUCAGUUCCAUUUAUUUUAAAUUAGUUCCAUUUACUUUUUGUUCAAUUGAUACAUGCUGCUGCAAGUUGGGGCCAGAUUGGGUGUGGCUCAGAUGAGCACCUAGUUCUUGGUAUAAAUCAGUAGUAUGAAUUGAGGGAGGAGGACCCGACUACUAGCUCACCUUCGAAGGAGGCCAACCAGAAGCAUCUGAGGGAGGUAUUCAACAUGAACAUGACAAGGAUUCUUGCAUUCAAGAACAAGCCACCUACUCAUGUUGAGUUCAUGCCCCAGGACUAUGCUUCUGUCCACCAAUCUAAGCCUGUUAAGCCUCGCAAACACAUCCGUCAGGGGAUUCGCAAGCAUUUGGAUUACCAUGAACGGGUGCCCUGAGUUCGAAGGAACGAUGGGGCGAUGCCGUAGAACAAUCCUCUUUUUUGCAAGCUUACUGCCUUUACUACUUGUUGGCGAUCCUGGCUGUGUCUAGUGGUGAAAGAAGGUCUUUAAGCGAACGACUUAUGUCUAGUGGUGAAAGAAAGUCUUUAAGUGAGUUAGUUCGCUUUAGGGAGGGUCAAGUCUAGUACUUUAGAGGUCAUGGACGCUUGCGCUAGCCCCCAUUCAAUUGAGGCAAAGCGAUAUUUUUGAGUCUUGGCUAAGUGCCUAGGAGUGUGAGUGCUCCUUCUGGCAAGGGUACGUGCCCUUAUUAUUUUUCGAUGUGUGCUCAUUAAUUUUGGCAUUUUGAUGACUUGGAUUCUUCCUUUGACUUAAAUUUUUCUUUCGACUUGGAUUACAAGUAAUUAAAUUUCAAUAAGGGACUUCUAUUUUUUAUUCUUGUUUUUCUAUAGGCUUUAAUAUUUUUGGAAAUUGGUUGGACCGAAUCAUGGAUUGCCUACGUAUCCGCCUUAAAUAAAUUUAAUUUGGAAUCAGGUCUUGCGUAGUUCUUAGCCUAGAAAAUGGUUUCAUAGAAUGCCGAUUUUAAACAAGUAUGUUCUGAGGUGGAAACAUAUUUUUUGAAAUGGUAGAAUAAGUGAAGUUUAUUAUUAUUUUAAUCUGCCGCUUUGCCGUAAGCCAAAAAUUUGUUUUAUAUUUUUUGAGUACAUAAUUUUUUGAGUACAUGUAUUUUUUGGUACGUAUAUCUGAAUACGUGUUGUACCCCUCCAAGUGUUCGUUAUUUUUCCGUGCAUGUGCGGAUAAAAUGACGAGCACUUCUGGACAAAAUUUGGCGAGCAGAGAGAUUC